RNAcentral lists this non-coding RNA (182 nucleotides) under Cycloclasticus sp. symbiont of Poecilosclerida sp. M. RNAcentral describes it as "6S / SsrS RNA". It matches the Rfam family "6S / SsrS RNA". From Rfam's summary of the family: E. coli 6S RNA was the first non coding RNA to be sequenced, but its function was unknown until recently. It consists of 184 nucleotides that fold into an extended hairpin structure with a large single-stranded internal bulge. The record is from Rfam by way of RNAcentral. Lineage: Bacteria; Pseudomonadati; Pseudomonadota; Gammaproteobacteria; Thiotrichales; Piscirickettsiaceae.
UGUUCCCUGCGGCGUUUGAUGCAAAGUGACAAAGCCCUGAGCCUAAUUACGAACUAAGGGAAGAAAGAUUACUUAACCGUUGCGUACGCUCUUUUAAAGAGAAGCCUUACGUUAAUGUCUUGUUCCCACUUGAACCCACUGGUUCAAGGUAGAAACUUUGCUUCGGCGCUUGCGGGGAACCC